GACGAACGCUGGCGGCGUGCCUAAUACAUGCAAGUCGAACGAGAGCGACCGGUGCUUGCACUGGUCAAUCUAGUGGCGAACGGGUGAGUAACACGUGGGUAACCUGCCCAUCAGAGGGGGAUAACAUUCGGAAACGGAUGCUAAAACCGCAUAGGUCUUCGAACCGCAUGGUUUGAAGAGGAAAAGAGGCGCAAGCUUCUGCUGAUGGAUGGACCCGCGGUGCAUUAGCUAGUUGGUGAGGUAACGGCUCACCAAGGCCGUGAUGCAUAGCCGACCUGAGAGGGUGAUCGGCCACAUUGGGACUGAGACACGGCCCAAACUCCUACGGGAGGCAGCAGUAGGGAAUCUUCCGCAAUGGACGCAAGUCUGACGGAGCAACGCCGCGUGAGUGAAGAAGGUUUUCGGAUCGUAAAACUCUGUUGUUAGAGAAGAACAAGUGCUAGAGUAACUGUUAGCGCCUUGACGGUAUCUAACCAGAAAGCCACGGCUAACUACGUGCCAGCAACCGCGGUAAUACGUAGGUGGCAAGCGUUGUCCGGAUUUAUUGGGCGUAAAGCGAGCGCAGGCGGUUCCUUAAGUCUGAUGUGCAAGCCCCCGGCUCAACCCGGGGAGGGUCAUUGGAAACUGGGGAACUUGAGUGCAGAAGAGGAGAGUGGAAUUCCAUGUGUAGCGGUGAAAUGCGUAGAUAUAUGGAGGGAACACCAGUGGCGAAGGCGACUCUCUGGUCUGUAACUGACGCUGAGGCUCGAAAGCGUGGGUAGCAACAGG
RNAcentral lists this ribosomal RNA (768 nucleotides) under uncultured Granulicatella sp. RNAcentral's name for it is "bacterial SSU rRNA". It matches the Rfam family "Bacterial small subunit ribosomal RNA", at positions 28 to 775 of the family's 1533-position model. Lineage: Bacteria; Bacillati; Bacillota; Bacilli; Lactobacillales; Carnobacteriaceae. The record is from RNAcentral.